This is a non-coding RNA of Paramuricea clavata, 341 nucleotides long. The record is from the annotation of a GenBank genome assembly. Lineage: Eukaryota; Metazoa; Cnidaria; Anthozoa; Malacalcyonacea; Plexauridae.
GUCAUAUUGAGCGCUCUACAUGAUGAGCAAUGCCGCUUACGCAUUGCGCACGCUCACUGCUUGCAGUUUGAGCGCUCUGGCAUGGUCCUGAUGUCCCACAAUCGUGAGGCAUCAAAGGUAACUGUAAAUAGCAGUUACUUUCAUCCUGUUCAUCAGCACCACACUGAUGAGACCCAUAAGGCCGAAACAGUACCGUCUGUUAUUAUUUCCAUAUUCAAAUAUUUUUUCGAUCUAGUAAUUUGAAGGUCGCGGGUUCAAGACCCAGCCGCGGCAGACUUUAUGUUUCUGCUUACGCUGCAGGGUAUGGAAAUUAUAUAUUACACACUCGAGAACAUUUUCAC